AAUCAACGCUGGCGGCGUGCCUCAGACAUGCAAGUCGAACGCGAAAGGCCCCUUCGGGGGCCCGGUAGAGUGGCGCACGGGUGAGUAACACGUAGGUAAUUUGCCUUCGGGUGGGAAUAACAGCCGGAACGGCUGCUAAUACCGCAUAAUGCAGCGGCUCGACAUCGAGACAGUUGUUAAAGCGGGGGAUCGCAAGACCUCGCGCCUGAAGAGAAGCCUGCGGCAGAUUAGCUUGUUGGUGAGGUAAUGGCUCACCAAGGCGACGAUCUGUAACCGGCCUGAGAGGGCGGUCGGUCACACUGACACUGACAUAC
Molecule: ribosomal RNA, 314 nt
Filed under: uncultured bacterium
Lineage: Bacteria
Description: bacterial SSU rRNA
Rfam family: Bacterial small subunit ribosomal RNA
Source: RNAcentral